UCUGAUUAGAUAGUUGGUGGGGUAACGGCCUACCAAGUCAACGAUCAGUAGCCGGUCUGAGAGGAUGAACGGCCACAUUGGGACUGAGAUACGGCCCAGACUCCUACGGGAGGCAGCAGUGGGGAAUAUUGGGCAAUGGGGGAAACCCUGACCCAGCAACGCCGCGUGAAGGAAGAAGGCCUUCGGGUUGUAAACUUCUUUUACCAGGGACGAAGGACGUGACGGUACCUGGAGAAAAAGCAACGGCUAACUACGUGCCAGCAGCCGCGGUAAUACGUAGGUUGCAAGCGUUGUCCGGAUUUACUGGGUGUAAAGGGCGUGUAGGCGGAGCUGCAAGUCAGAUGUGAAAUCCCGGGGCUCAACCCCGGAACUGCAUUUGAAACUGUAGCCCUUGAGUAUCGGAGAGGCAAGCGGAAUUCCUAGUGUAGCGGUGAAAUGCGUAGAUAUUAGGAGGAACACCAGUGGCGAAGGCGGCUUGCUGGACGACAACUGACGCUGAGGCGCGAAAGCGUGGGGAGCAAACAGGAUUAGAUACCCUGGUAGUCCACGCUGUAAACGAUGAAUACUAGGUGUGGGAGG
Molecule: ribosomal RNA, 579 nt
Filed under: uncultured bacterium
Lineage: Bacteria
Description: bacterial SSU rRNA
Rfam family: Bacterial small subunit ribosomal RNA
Source: RNAcentral